Molecule: transfer RNA, 67 nt
Filed under: Nuchequula nuchalis
Lineage: Eukaryota; Metazoa; Chordata; Actinopteri; Chaetodontiformes; Leiognathidae
Also listed under: 2 other names
Description: tRNA-Ser(AGY)
Source: RNAcentral
GAGAGAGGCUCGCAGCAAUGAAAACUGCUAAUUUUCAUGACCUGGGUUGAACCCCCAGGCUCACUCG